Molecule: ribosomal RNA, 497 nt
Filed under: uncultured bacterium
Lineage: Bacteria
Description: partial 16S ribosomal RNA
Rfam family: Bacterial small subunit ribosomal RNA
Source: RNAcentral
GAUGAACGCUGGCGGCGUGCCUAAUACAUGCAAGUCGAGCGAACGGACGAGAAGCUUGCUUCUCUGAUGUUAGCGGCGGACGGGUGAGUAACACGUGGAUAACCUACCUAUAAGACUGGGAUAACUUCGGGAAACCGGAGCUAAUACCGGAUAAUAUUUUGAACCGCACGGUUCAAAAGUGAAAGACGGUCUUGCUGUCACUUAUAGAUGGAUCCGCGCUGCAUUAGCUAGUUGGUAAGGUAACGGCUUACCAAGGCAACGAUGCAUAGCCGACCUGAGAGGGUGAUCGGCCACACUGGAACUGAGACACGGUCCAGACUCCUACGGGAGGCAGCAGUAGGGAAUCUUCCGCAAUGGGCGAAAGCCUGACGGAGCAACGCCGCGUGAGUGAUGAAGGUCUUCGGAUCGUAAAACUCUGUUAUUAGGGAAGAACAUAUGUGUAAGUAACUGUGCACAUCUUGACGGUACCUAAUCAGAAAGCCACGGCUAACUACGUG